This 59-nucleotide transfer RNA is filed under the name Sphingobacterium sp. JB170. It matches the Rfam family "tRNA", at positions 15 to 71 of the family's 71-position model. Rfam says of the family: Transfer RNA (tRNA) molecules are approximately 80 nucleotides in length. Lineage: Bacteria; Pseudomonadati; Bacteroidota; Sphingobacteriia; Sphingobacteriales; Sphingobacteriaceae. The record is from Rfam by way of RNAcentral.
GGAGCGUGAGCAUCUGCCUUACAAGCAGAGGGUCACAGGUUCGAAUCCUGUAGCCUCCA